AGUGAACGCUGGCGGCGUGCUUAACACAUGCAAGUCGAACGAGAACGGAUUAUAGCUUGCUAUAAUUGUCAGCUAAGUGGCGCACGGGUGAGUAAUGUAUAGGUAAUAUGCCUCUUGCUAAGGGAUAACAAAUGGAAACGUUUGCUAAUACCUUGUACUCCUUAUUAACAGAAGUUAACAAGGGAAAGAUUUAUUGGUAAGAGAUUAGCCUGUAUUGUAUCAGUUAGUUGGUGGGGUAAUGGCCUACCAAGACUAUGACACAUAACUGGUUUGAGAGGAUGAUCCGUCACACUGGAACGGAGACACGGUCCAGACUCCUACGGGAGGCAGCAGUGGGGAAUAUUGCACAAUGGACGAAAGUCUGAUGCAGCAACGCCGCGUGGAGGAUGACACAUUUCGGUGCGUAAACUCCUUUUAUAUGAGAAGAUAAUGACGGUGUUAUAUGAAUAAGCACCGGCUAACUCCGUGCCAGCAGCCGCAGUAA
RNAcentral lists this ribosomal RNA (484 nucleotides) under uncultured bacterium. Its description in RNAcentral is "partial 16S ribosomal RNA". It matches the Rfam family "Bacterial small subunit ribosomal RNA", at positions 29 to 523 of the family's 1533-position model. The record is from RNAcentral.